CGCGCAGGCGGCGUCGUAAGUCGGUCUUAAAAGUGCGGGGCUUAACCCCGUGAGGGACCGAAACUGCGAUGCUAGAGUAUCGGAGAGGAAAGCGGAAUUCUUAGUGUAGCGGUGAAAUGCGUAGAUAUUAGGAGGAACACCAGUGGCGAAAGCGGCUUUCUGGACGACAACUGACGCUGAGGCGCGAAAGCCAGGGGAGCAAAACG
RNAcentral lists this ribosomal RNA (206 nucleotides) under uncultured bacterium. RNAcentral's name for it is "partial 16S ribosomal RNA". It matches the Rfam family "Bacterial small subunit ribosomal RNA", at positions 568 to 775 of the family's 1533-position model. The record is from RNAcentral.